AACGAACGCUGGCGGCAUGCCUAACACAUGCAAGUCGAACGAAGCCUUCGGGCUUAGUGGCGCACGGGUGCGUAACGCGUGGGAAUCUGCCCUUAGGUACGGAAUAACUCAGGGAAACUUGUGCUAAUACCGUAUGAUGUCGAGAGACCAAAGAUUUAUCGCCUAGGGAUGAGCCCGCGUAGGAUUAGCUAGUUGGUGGGGUAAAGGCCUACCAAGGCGACGAUCCUUAGCUGGUCUGAGAGGAUGAUCAGCCACACUGGGACUGAGACACGGCCCAGAUCCUACGGGAGGCAGCAGUGGGGAA
RNAcentral lists this ribosomal RNA (304 nucleotides) under uncultured bacterium. RNAcentral describes it as "bacterial SSU rRNA". It matches the Rfam family "Bacterial small subunit ribosomal RNA", at positions 29 to 361 of the family's 1533-position model. The record is from RNAcentral.